GAAUCUAUUGAUUCUCCCCCAAUUGGUUGGAUCGUAGGGACUCAGCACCUUUUGAUAUUUUGAGAAGAGUUGC
This 73-nucleotide transfer RNA is filed under the name Colocasia esculenta (taro). Its description in RNAcentral is "tRNA-Ala". The record is from RNAcentral. Lineage: Eukaryota; Viridiplantae; Streptophyta; Magnoliopsida; Alismatales; Araceae.